UACAGAGGGGGCAAGCGUUGUUCGGAAUUACUGGGCGUAAAGGGCGCGUAGGCGGCCUUCUAAGUCGAACGUGAAAUCCCUGGGCUCAACCCAGGAACUGCGUCCGAUACUGGAAGGCUUGAAUCCGGGAGAGGGAUGCGGAAUUCCAGGUGUAGCGGUGAAAUGUGUAGAUAUCUGGAGGAACACCGGUGGCGAAGGCGGCAUCCUGGACCGGUAUUGACGCUGAGGCGCGAAAGCCAGGGGAGCAAACGGG
RNAcentral lists this ribosomal RNA (253 nucleotides) under uncultured bacterium. RNAcentral describes it as "partial 16S ribosomal RNA". It matches the Rfam family "Bacterial small subunit ribosomal RNA", at positions 524 to 776 of the family's 1533-position model. The record is from RNAcentral.